RNAcentral lists this ribosomal RNA (305 nucleotides) under uncultured bacterium. Its description in RNAcentral is "bacterial SSU rRNA". It matches the Rfam family "Bacterial small subunit ribosomal RNA", at positions 337 to 640 of the family's 1533-position model. The record is from RNAcentral.
UCCUACGGGGGGCAGCAGUGAGGAAUAUUGGUCAAUGGGCGGGAGCCUGAACCAGCCAAGCCGCGUGAGGGAAGAAGGUACAGCGUAUCGUAAACCUCUUUUGUCAGGGAACAAAGGCGGGGACUAGUCCCCGGAUGAGGGUACCUGAAGAAAAAGCAUCGGCUAACUCCGUGCCAGCAGCCGCGGUAAUACGGGGGAUGCGAGCGUUAUCCGGAUUUAUUGGGUUUAAAGGGUGCGCAGGCGGCCUGUUAAGUCAGCGGUAAAAGCCCGGGGCUCAACCCCAGCGAGCCGUUGAAACUGGCGGG